This 863-nucleotide long non-coding RNA is filed under the name Mus spicilegus (steppe mouse). Its description in RNAcentral is "lncRNA (ENSMSIG00000012598.1)". Lineage: Eukaryota; Metazoa; Chordata; Mammalia; Rodentia; Muridae. The record is from RNAcentral.
CUAGAAUCAUCUACUGAACUGUAGACAAACGUGUCCAGCAUGUACCUCAGAGCUGAAGAAGUUGUGUUUAGUGCCAGAUUCAUGUAUGCCCCGAUGGAAACAGCUUAAGGAAGAAAAUCAGGUAGAUGAUAAAUCUGCAUCAGAGCAUUUGUGGUAACUAUGGAGACCUUGAUUCCUCCUUUGUGAUGGCGCCAACUUCUGUGACUUCAGCAAGGGGGAACACAAACUUUUGAAAUGAAACUGGAGAAGAUUAAGGUUCCAUUGACCACCAUCUCUAUCAUUCAGAAGCAAAGCCACAUCACCAGAGACAAAGCUGGACACCUACCUACACGAUGGCUAGGGUUCCCACCAGGCUCCCACCAGGUUCUUCAUCAUUUUAUCAAACAGCAGAAGAACCUCACCAAAGACCAGUCCAGUGAAGUUGCCUAUCUUAGACUGUCAACUUCUAGUACUGUGAGAAAGUGCAUUCAUUCUUCUGGGGAAAGAAACGAAGACCCAGUGAUGUAGAAGCCGCCAGGACCACAAGUGCUACUGUUCUUUCUCAUGUGCUGUUUUCUUUCUGUGAACUCUGAGACGCCACUAAUGAGAAUAGCCAAUUACUACAUCUGUUGACCAAGAGCAAGCUCCGCUGCCCAUUAACACAGCCUUCUCUGGCCAGUCACUCUAAUGAGAAACUGGAUAAUUGCAGGACUCUUGGUCAAUAGUUGAGAAUUUUAGUUUAUGUUGAAUUUAGAGCCAGAAUUUGUUUUGAUGUUUCAAGCCUAAUUAGAUUUAUUUUAUAUAUAAAGAAAUGCCGACUUUUUUUUCUUUUCGUGACCCCAAAUUCUAGAUAUAUUUUGUACAUCAGAGAAUAAGAGAUUGAG